This is an RNA transcript of Aplysia californica (California sea hare), 2573 nucleotides long. It is a transcript of the gene named regulator of G-protein signaling loco, with no coding region annotated. The record is from RefSeq and is a predicted model, not a curated record. NCBI's taxonomy places the organism in Eukaryota, Metazoa, Mollusca, Gastropoda, Aplysiida, Aplysiidae. The transcript is spliced from 8 exons.
GUCCAACAAUCUAAUCUUAAUUAUUUUUCUAUUGGUCGCUUUUCUGCCUUUGUUGGCGUAGGCCCUAUCCGGGCGUGUACAUCGACGGGGCGUACACCUCUUCUGAUUGGCUGAUCCUGGUUGGCGUGUUGUGGGGGACAGUGGAUGGUGUCACUGCGGGGUAUACGUCUAAAACUGCUUGGACUCGUGCACAGUGUUUCUGCGUCUUUCACUCCCACGUGGUUUGGUUGCCAUUUUCGUUGGUUGUACGUUUUGGAGAUUUCACGAUUCAUACUUUACUAACUGUUGAAACAUUUUGAAGUCAAGUUAAAACAGUGAUUAUCUCGUCAUUUGUUAGUCACAUACUGUACAUUUGUGUGACUGUGGAGACUAGUUUCCCUUUGUGCAUCGAGUGGAAACAUCGUAUUUCGUUAUGGCGAGGAAUAUUGCAAGUGGUUCAUCACUCCCAAGAAGAAGGAAACUGCAGUCUGUUUCAUUACUGGAAGAGUGGAGUAACCUCUCCAUGGUCGAGCUCUGUUCUGAAAGAUUCGAUGACAGUUGGGUUGAGCCUGAACAACUCGAAGAGAGUAACAGUAACAGCAGUGACAGUUCUUCUCCAGGUUCACAUUCCCUUACUGGAUAUUUCACCGUGAGUCAGACUGCUCGAUCUGACAAGACUCGCCCCCUUACCGAUACCUUGAGCUUGGUUAAGAAAACGCACAAUGAUGUAGACUACGAUACUUGUUCUGUUCAGGACACCUUUGAGUGUUGUGCGGAAAUAAGCAUGGACGGUUUAAAUAAUGUGAUGAAUGGUCUAGAAUUGAUUGACAAUCUAAAUGUGAGUGCUGUAGAUACACGCAUGAAAAACUGGCCCAGCGACCAAUAUUGCAGAGUCCCAGAACGUCGUAGAUUCCAGCGCCUAGAGAAGCUCAACGUGACCCUCAACACUGGCCUGUCCCCAGUUAUUGAAGAGGCUCCCUGUCUGAACACUCAGUCCAAGCUGCUCAACGUGAGUGUGGACAUAAUCACUGGACAGACUGGCGAUCACAAACAGGCUAGGUUGUUAAAUGUGAGUGUGGACAACAUCACUGGACAGACUGGCGAUCAGGCUGACGGUCUGAAGGAGCAAGUAGGUCGGGUGGCCAGCUGGGCCGUACACGUGGACAAACUACUUCAGGACCCAGUCGGCGUUGAAGUCUUUUCGGAAUUUUUGAGGAAAGAGUUCAGCGAAGAGAACAUCUUGUUUUGGAAGGCGUGUGAGCAGUACCGUCAACUGACAGAUGACUCUGAACGCAACACUCAGGCCUGUGUCAUCUAUGGCCGCUUUUUGUCCCCCACGGCAGAUGAUCCUGUGAAUGUGGAUGGUGUAGCCCGUUCUCACACGCGGAUGUUUCUGGACAAUCCCACAGUCGACAUGUUUGAUGUGGCUCAGAAGCAGAUCCACCAACUGAUGCGUCGUGACAGUUAUGUGAGAUUCGUCAAGUCUGAUUUGUACAAGAACAAGUUAAUGGAGGAAAUGGAGGAUAAACCUGGACAGACUGGCGAUCAGGGUGACGGUCUGAAGGAGCCAGUAGGUCGGGUGGCCAGCUGGGCCGUACACGUGGACAAACUACUUCAGGACCCAGUCGGUGUUGAAGUCUUUUCGGAAUUCUUGAAGAAAGAGUUUAGCGAAGAGAACAUCUUGUUUUGGAAGGCGUGUGAGCAGUACCGUCAACUGACAGAUGACUCUGAGCGCAACGCUCAGGCCGGAGUCAUCUAUGGCCGCUUUUUGUCCCCCACGGCAGAUGAUCCCGUGAAUGUGGAUGGUGCAGCCCGCUCUCACACGCGGACGUUUCUGGACAAUCCCACAGUCGACAUGUUUGAUGUGGCUCAAAAGCAGGUACGUAUCUUGACAUUUAGUGUGGUUGUCCGUGAGAGUUGAUCUUGUGACACUAGUUGAAAUUAUUUAUACUUAUUGCAAGUAUCAUCUUAUGUUAAUAUGACUACAAAUGUACUUUCAAGUUGUUCCAAUUACAAAAUAGACAUAUUAUUAUGUUAGCAGGACAGCAUUUGCUAAUGAGGAAAUGUGUUUUUUUUUCUAAUUUGAAAGUACAAGGGUUUUUUUAAGAGAAAGGUUUUUAAUUUUUUAAGUUACUUUUCUUUUUUUUUGGAAAGGGUGCAUCAUACUUUAAAUCAGUAUUGGUAUAGCAUCUCUAACUUUCUUUCUAUGUGGUUGGUGGAUACUUUGAUGUGGCCUGCUUCUUCUUUGUGUUAUUGUUCUCCAAUUUCCCAACACAAAAUAGCAGUUGUCGUGCCGACUAACCGUUUACCACAACUCAGCAAAUGCCAGUUUUUGGUACAUGCACAAAUAAAGGGGUUGUCUUUUGUUCUUAUUUGUCUUUAUAUCAUAACCAAGGUAUGUUUUAUUUUGCAGAUAUAUCAACUGAUGCGUCGUGACAUUUAUGUGAGAUUCAUCAAGGCUGAUUUGUACAAGAACAAGUUAAUGGAGGAAAUGGAGGGUAAACCUCUGCAGGGACAGAUGCAAGACAAACUACCAGAAGAAAAAAGAGAAGAGAAAAGAGGUCGCAAAUAUAGAGCUUCUUCGGGCAUAUUGA